AUUGACAGGGUUCAACCUGAGUAAGCUCUUUCAUUACAAAAUAAAUGGUGAAAAUUAUCUUUGAAAAUAAACAAUAAAUAGAGUAUCUAACCCCCAUUUACAAAUAGGUUGCAGAUCCUUAUUUGCAAAAUGAAGGUGGAGGACUGAACAAUUUCUAAGUUCUAACAUUCAUUGAUUCAGUAUAUAUAGAGGCAAGAACAUUCUUUUUUCAAAGUUACCUUGUAAUCUGCUAUCAGAUUAAUUUUCCUAAAAAUACGUUUGUCACAAUUUCACUCUGUCUGAAACAUAGUUUGGCUUCCCAUUUUCCACAGGAUGAAGUACAAUUUCCUGACACUGACAUUCAAGGUCUUCCAGAUUCAGAGAAAGACCAAAUGUGUAAGAAUGACAAAAAAAGGUACACAGGACAAUAGGCAGAAUACUUAUUCAUUUUUCUGCAAUGAAACCUGA
RNAcentral lists this long non-coding RNA (447 nucleotides) under Monodelphis domestica (gray short-tailed opossum). RNAcentral describes it as "lncRNA (ENSMODG00000032771.2)". Lineage: Eukaryota; Metazoa; Chordata; Mammalia; Didelphimorphia; Didelphidae. The record is from RNAcentral.